UUUAUGGAGAGUUUGAUCCUGGCUCAGGAUGAACGCUGGCGGCGUGCCUAAUACAUGCAAGUCGAGCGAACGGACGAGAAGCUUGCUUCUCUGAUGUUAGCGGCGGACGGGUGAGUAACACGUGGAUAACCUACCUAUAAGACUGGGAUAACUUCGGGAAACCGGAGCUAAUACCGGAUAAUAUUUUGAACCGCAUGGUUCAAAAGUGAAAGACGGUCUUGCUGUCACUUAUAGAUGGAUCCGCGCUGCAUUAGCUAGUUGGUAAGGUAACGGCUUACCAAGGCAACGAUGCAUAGCCGACCUGAGAGGGUGAUCGGCCACACUGGAACUGAGACACGGUCCAGACUCCUACGGGAGGCAGCAGUAGGGAAUCUUCCGCAAUGGGCGAAAGCCUGACGGAGCAACGCCGCGUGAGUGAUGAAGGUCUUCGGAUCGUAAAACUCUGUUAUUAGGGAAGAACAUAUGUGUAAGUAACUGUGCACAUCUUGACGGUACCUAAUCAGAAAGCCACGGCUAACUACGUGCCAGCAGCCGCGGUAAUACGUAGGUGGCAAGCGUUAUCCGGAAUUAUUGGGCGUAAAGCGCGCGUAGGCGGUUUUUUAAGUCUGAUGUGAAAGCCCACGGCUCAACCGUGGAGGGUCAUUGGAAACUGGAAAACUUGAGUGCAGAAGAGGAAAGUGGAAUUCCAUGUGUAGCGGUGAAAUGCGCAGAGAUAUGGAGGAACACCAGUGGCGAAGGCGACUUUCUGGUCUGUAACUGACGCUGAUGUGCGAAAGCGUGGGGAUCAAACAGGAUUAGAUACCCUGGUAGUCCACGCCGUAAACGAUGAGUGCUAAGUGUUAGGGGGUUUCCGCCCCUUAGUGCUGCAGCUAACGCAUUAAGCACUCCGCCUGGGGAGUACGACCGCAAGGUUGAAACUCAAAGGAAUUGACGGGGACCCGCACAAGCGGUGGAGCAUGUGGUUUAAUUCGAAGCAACGCGAAGAACCUUACCAAAUCUUGACAUCCUUUGACAACUCUAGAGAUAGAGCCUUCCCCUUCGGGGGACAAAGUGACAGGUGGUGCAUGGUUGUCGUCAGCUCGUGUCGUGAGAUGUUGGGUUAAGUCCCGCAACGAGCGCAACCCUUAAGCUUAGUUGCCAUCAUUAAGUUGGGCACUCUAA
This 1161-nucleotide ribosomal RNA is filed under the name Staphylococcus aureus. RNAcentral describes it as "bacterial SSU rRNA". It matches the Rfam family "Bacterial small subunit ribosomal RNA", at positions 1 to 1143 of the family's 1533-position model. The record is from RNAcentral. Lineage: Bacteria; Bacillati; Bacillota; Bacilli; Caryophanales; Staphylococcaceae.